GUGGGUAUAGCUGAGUAGUAGAGCACAUACUUAGCAUGCAGGAGGUCCUGGAUUCAAUGUCCAGUAUCUUCA
This 72-nucleotide transfer RNA is filed under the name Camelus bactrianus (Bactrian camel). It matches the Rfam family "tRNA". Rfam says of the family: Transfer RNA (tRNA) molecules are approximately 80 nucleotides in length. Their secondary structure includes four short double-helical elements and three loops (D, anti-codon, and T loops). RNAcentral also lists the same sequence under 2 other names. Lineage: Eukaryota; Metazoa; Chordata; Mammalia; Artiodactyla; Camelidae. The record is from Rfam by way of RNAcentral.